GGUGGGGUUCCCGAGCGGCCAAAGGGAGCAGACUGUAAAUCUGCCGUCAUCGACCUCGAAGGUUCGAAUCCUUCCCCCACCACCA
RNAcentral lists this transfer RNA (85 nucleotides) under Escherichia coli. RNAcentral describes it as "tRNA-Tyr". It matches the Rfam family "tRNA". Rfam says of the family: Transfer RNA (tRNA) molecules are approximately 80 nucleotides in length. The record is from RNAcentral. RNAcentral also lists the same sequence under 204 other names. Lineage: Bacteria; Pseudomonadati; Pseudomonadota; Gammaproteobacteria; Enterobacterales; Enterobacteriaceae.